This is a long non-coding RNA of Sinocyclocheilus anshuiensis, 967 nucleotides long. RefSeq lists it as uncharacterized. The record is from RefSeq and is a predicted model, not a curated record. The transcript has 5 exons. Lineage: Eukaryota; Metazoa; Chordata; Actinopteri; Cypriniformes; Cyprinidae.
GAGAGGUUUGCUAAUCUUUCAAGGAGAAGUUCUAUUUCAAAUUAUGGACAGAUCAUACAGUCCUAACCAUCCUAACCAGGACAUUUCGGAACAAAUGACCUGCACCGUAGCUGCUGCUGUUUGCAUGAGAUGAAACACAGAUAACCACAUGCUAUUCAGCAUCAAUGGGACGCAUUGCAGAAGCAUGCUCACUGAGACACGCUCGGCUCCCACCAAAUCCAGCCCCCAAAUUUGAACUGGAGGGAGGGGAAGUUACGGCACUGACUCUUGUGUUGUACUCCUCUGUGUCUGUUUGGCUUCCACCCUGCAUGGUUCCCUCUGCACCUAUGGCUCUGCGGCUGAAAAGGUGAACGCGGAUUACACUGGAAAAGAUGGACGACAUUGACAGGAAGCCAUGUGAGAUGAAGGGGAAACAGAGGACAGUCCAUGAAAUCAUUCUCCCACCCAGCUGUUGACAGCUGCGCUGAUGGGCAGCUCCCUUCUCCAGCAGGAGAUGUAGAGAUGAGCUGUGUUUUUCGACAUAUUAAACCGCUGUUUGUUUUGUGAUGAAGCCUCACCAGACAAAGCACUAACUCCCAUUCUUUGAUAUUGGGAAUUCACAGCUGGGAAGUGCUGUUUGGCAGCCAACAGCAGUAUGAAAAUCCCAUAACCCACUAAUAUGGUUUCUUUUCAUUGCACCCUUUCGCACUGUUUUUAAGUAACUGUUACACAAUACUGCAUAUGAAAAGCAUAUUUGCACUUUAAAUCAUUGACUCUUAGGCACUUGUUCUAGCACUUAGAUAACAUUUAUCGCCUUAACUUUAUGAGUGUUAUUUUAUGGGCACAAACACUCUUGGUUAGUGGUCAGUUAUAAUGUUUGCUUUGAAUAAAACCAAAUAUCUAUUUCAAGAAAACCAUGGGCAUGUUUCCAUUGAAAAGCACAUUUUCAUAACUUUCCCCAUCACAAUUAUAUAAAUUUUGAGUUCUG